AUUUAGUGGGCAUGUUAUUUAAAUUGUAUGGUUAGGUCACAUUAGAUGAAAAAGGUACCAUGUUUCGCUUCCAGGUUUCCGGCGCAUCUAGGAGGAAUCACAGGUAGGUAAUUUGUUGGUAAGUAUUGGUCUCAUUUGUUUUUUAGGUGUUGUCGUGACUUGGCCUUUGGGUUGCCAGCCAGCUCAUGCCGGCCACAGGUGAAGAGUAGGCGUUGGUGUGAGGUAUGGGCAGGUUGGAGUGAAAGCCCAGUAAGGAGUUGACUUUUCCAGAGCGACCUCGACAGUUCAUGUAAGCUUGUUGGGGCCAGGUGGGACGUCUCAUUGGCACAUUUUGCUGUGUUGUGGCAGUUUGUGUUGUUCAGGUUUUGUGCAUCAGGAUUGGAGAUGUCGGAUCCGAAGGCGCCGACCAGAAGGACUCCGCUGGUGUGAAUUUGAUGAGAAAUUCGACAGCGUCAGUCCUGGAUUGCUCCUGUUUGGAUCCCGCAUCAAUGUCAUCAGCUGACCGAUGACCAAAUUUAGCUGCUGCAUCAUGGCCAUGAGGUCUCGAUAUAUUGGCUGCAUUUGACCAGGAGUAUCUCCUUCUUGUGGCAGUCGUUGUUUUAGGGGAGUGUUUUGUUUUUGUGUUGUGUAGUGGUGUUUAUUGUU
This is a long non-coding RNA of Drosophila willistoni, 645 nucleotides long. RefSeq lists it as uncharacterized. The record is from RefSeq and is a predicted model, not a curated record. Lineage: Eukaryota; Metazoa; Arthropoda; Insecta; Diptera; Drosophilidae. The transcript is spliced from 5 exons.